Non-coding RNA from Coturnix japonica (Japanese quail), 2593 nucleotides. Lineage: Eukaryota; Metazoa; Chordata; Aves; Galliformes; Phasianidae. The record is from RefSeq and is a predicted model, not a curated record.
CCGGAGCCCCGCUCCGUGCGGUACGGACACCUACAGCCACGGACACGGAGCUGUAGAGAGAAGCAGGCAGAGCCACCGGAGCUGCACGGUGUGCUGGUGCUCUGAGGGUUUGGGGGGAAACGUGACAAAUAAAAGCCCUCAUUCUCACAGCAUACGAACUAGCGAAACCCGAGUCAUCGCUCGGGCAGAGAAAUCAAUUCUCCUUAACCGAGGGAAAAGAGGAGAGAGACUGAGAGAAAAGGAUCAGCCGAGGGGAAAAUACUCGGAGUUUUAACCUCAAUGCAACGACACGUACAGUACGGCCGAGCCGAGCGCAGAACGGACGGGAAAUUAAUCCGUUCUCCAGCAGUGAAAGGAGGGUUAAAUAAAGAAAGAAAGAGAGAGAGACGAAGAGGGGGGAAAAAGCAGCAGCGCCUAUGUAUAGCGUUUGUAAAAGUUGUGCUCUGGCAAAGGCCGUCUGAAGGGGAGGCCCUUGCAGCAGGAAUGCGAGCGGCGGCUGCAGCCUCGCUCCACAGUCCGGCCUCCCCCUCGCAGCGACUGGAGCCGGCAGGCGGAGGAGGCCGCGUUGGCGCAGCGCGGGGCCGGGGCUGCCGAUGGGAGGGAGGCACGGCACAGCGACAGCACGGGACCGUGCGGGCCACGGAGGACAGAGCAGCCGUGAGGAGAGACAGCGGGGCCGGCUAAUGGAGCUUUUAAUUGGGGGCGGGAGGGGGGGGAGUGGGAGGGAAAGGAAAGGAAGGUCCUACGGAAAUAUCUUCCGGGAUUAGAACAAGGAGCGCUGGACUCUCAUCUCGAUGCGGCCCUGUAGGAAAGCGCUGCGGGGACGGCGAAAAAAGCCGCUCGGAAGAGCCGCGGGGCUGAAAACGGGGAUUGGAAAGGAGAAAAAAAAAAAAAAAAAAAGAAAGAAAGUGGAUGGUGGGUGUGACAAAAAAAGCUGGGUGAUUCUGUUUUCUCAUGCCCUCGCUCCUCCACCAGCUGCACAGCCAAGCGCAGGCUGCUUGGCCCUUAUAACUAUCUUGGCACGGAGUCAAAAGCUGAUAAGCAUUUGGGCGAGACAGCUCAACUGCUGUGCUGGAAGAAAAACAGCUGCCAUGAUUUCUGUUUGAUUGAGAGCGCUUACACACACGCACAAAAAAACACAUCGGGCUGCAGAGACGGGCCACGAAUGCCUGAGGAUUCAGCUUCAGAAGAGCAACGCACGUUUCCUUAAAGAAAAAAAAAGAAAGAAAAAAGAAAGAAAAAAAAAAGUUUUAUACAGUUUUGCCUCCGUUCCUCCUCCCCUUUCUAAAGAAAAUGCGCUGCGUAGACUCGCUCCUCUGUUUCCCAUCCCCCUCCAUAACCUCAAGCAAACUCGAGGAAUUGUGCCAAAAGUCCCGUUGCUAGUUACCGAGUGCGUUUUUUUUUCUCAACGUCCCUUUGAUAGUUCUUCCCCUUGUGCUUGCCAUGGAAUAUGCAAGUAAGAUAAUCUUUCCAUUACUUACGAAAAGCAAUUAAAAAUGAAAAGAGCUUCUAGCAAACCUUCCUUUUUAUACUUUUUUUUCCCCCCCUCUGAAGGGGCAGAAGAAGGGAGAUGAGGGAGAGAAGAAUAUAUAUAUUUUUUUCCCCUCUUUGCAGAGUCCAACAUUUGGCUUUUUCCAUUUGUGGCAGAUCACUGUAACGCUAUUGUAAAACAACUUCCUGCCCCUUUUGGCUCCGGUUCCAGAGGCUGCUAGGCUAAGUUCAUAGCGCAAACUUUUUUCCCCCUUGCCGAAGAAAGGCAAAUAAUAAUAAUAAUAAAAUUCCUGCAAAUGAUGUUCCUCCUCCUCUGGCUAAUGGACUCCCAAGGUGAACGCACUGCAGCCCUGUAAGAAUGUCACACAAGAGGCAGCACUAUCCCAGCUGGAGAAUCCAUGAGCUGAAAGUUUCUGGUCUUUCCUUAACGAAGUACAAAGAGAGGGAAAGAGACUAUCAUCGGGAAAACUGAAAGGAUAAAGCCUCUGUAGCAUGCACAUACCACCAGGAAGCAUGAGGUUUAGCCCAGAGGGCUCACAACAUGAAAGAAACUUCCAGACUCACCAGACGGGUGACAUGCCCACUGCAGGUGGGUGAAUGACUAGCACCCAGUACAACCCCCGACAUUUCUCACCUCUCCACUUCUUCGUCUAGAAUAUAAGAAUUUAAUCUCACAGUUUCCAGUGACUGCUAUCCCCCAAAAUUUAGAAGAAUAAACACUGAGCUUUUUAAUGCACCAAGGGUCAAAGAAAGAACACUGGUGUUGGAAAGUCCUCACAGACAGCUAAGUUUAAAAAAAGUCAGUGUCCAUAGCAAAACAAGCUCUUAGGGAAAAACAAAAACCUACAAUAGGUAUUUAAAACAACCUACUGGGAAAUCCAGUAACGUAUCGUCUCAUUGCAUGUUUAUCAGAUCUUCUCAUUUACUUAAAUGGGAACACUCUGCUUUUAUGCAUGGAAGAUUAUGCAGGCAUAGCAUAGUGGUUCAAAAUAAAGGGAAACAAUCUCUAAACACAGAAGAAGCACAUGGACAAGGGCAAAUUGGGUACUGAGAAAAACUACAUAUAUCGAGGCAAAGAGGUGCCUAUUUUCAAAAGCAAAAA